This 236-nucleotide long non-coding RNA is filed under the name Carica papaya (papaya). RNAcentral describes it as "long non-coding RNA (CPAP_LNC012203)". The record is from RNAcentral. Lineage: Eukaryota; Viridiplantae; Streptophyta; Magnoliopsida; Brassicales; Caricaceae.
UCCAGUAUGAGCACUAAAAAUACCAUCCCUCAAUAUCUCGUCUGGUAUGAGGGUAAAACGGGCCAUCCCCAUACCCGGUCCAAUAUGAACGCCAAAUACCAAUCCUCGAUAUCCCGUCCAGUAUGAGGCAACAUUCACGGUAGAGUUUCUUAUGCACCCGGUCCGUCCACCAUCUCCUAGGAUAUCCAGUAAGGCUACUAUUUACUCAUUCAUUUAAUCAAUCAAUUCAUGUUUAC